CAGUGGUAGUGCUGAUGCCUCGCAGUUAGGAGACCAAGGUUCGCUUCCUGGGUCCUCCCUGUGUGGAGUUUGCAUGUUCUCCCCAUGUCUGCGUGGGUUUCCUCCCACAGUCCAAAAACAUGCAAGUUAGGUGGAUUGGCGAUUCUAAAUUGGCCCUAGUGUGUGCUUGGUGUGUGGGUGUGUUUGUGUGUGUCCUGCGGUGGGUUGGCACCCUGCCCGGGAUUGGUUCCCUGCCUUGUGCCCUGUGUUGGCUGGGAUUGGCUCCAGCGGACCCCUGUGACCCUGUUCGGAUUCAGCGGGUUGGAAAAUGGAUGGAUGGAU
Molecule: long non-coding RNA, 321 nt
Organism: Erpetoichthys calabaricus (reedfish)
Lineage: Eukaryota; Metazoa; Chordata; Cladistia; Polypteriformes; Polypteridae
Exons: 2
Source: RefSeq, a predicted model, not a curated record